Molecule: ribosomal RNA, 476 nt
Filed under: uncultured bacterium
Lineage: Bacteria
Description: SSU rRNA
Rfam family: Bacterial small subunit ribosomal RNA
Source: RNAcentral
AGAAUCAACGCUGGCGGCGUGCCUAACACAUGCAAGUCGAACGAGAAAGUGGAGCAAUCCAUGAGUAAAGUGGCGACCGGGUGAGUAACACGUGACCAAUCUACCCUUGAGUGGGGGAUAACCUCGGGAAACCGGGGCUAAUACCGCAUAACAUCCUCGGGACGGAAGUACUGGGGAUCAAAGGAGCAAUUCGCUUAAGGAGGAGGUCGCGGCUGAUUAGCUAGUUGGCGGGGUAAUGGCCCACCAAGGCAAAGAUCGGUAGCCGGCCUGAGAGGGCGCACGGCCACACUGGAACUGAAACACGGUCCAGACUCCUACGGGAGGCAGCAGUGGGGAAUUUUGCGCAAUGGGGGAAACCCUGACGCAGCAACGCCGCGUGGAGGAUGAAGUCCCUUGGGACGUAAACUCCUUUCGACCCGGACGAUAAUGACGGUACGGGUGGAAGAAGCCCCGGCUAACUUCGUGCCAGCAGCCGC